UUAGAAUAGCUGUCAUCAUUUUCUUUCGCACAUAGAACCACUUUGAAGGAGGGGCGCUCUGAAGUGGGACCUAUUAAGAUCUCUAGCAUUCAGAAAAAAGUCGACAUGGCGAUCAAGUUGUUCAUACUCCCAAAGAUAAAUCGAAUGGGCGUGGCUGGAGUUCCUCUGCCCAAAAUGGAUGGGUUUGAGAUGGCAAAUACAUCCAUCACACCGGGAUUGGGAUUCCUGAAGAUUGGAACUGAUCUCGUUCACACGCACCAAUCGGCCAAUGCCGCCUAACGACUUUGUUGGUCUGUCUCGCUGGCCAUAUGUAUACAUGUAGGCCUUUAAAUUCACGUUACGUGGCUUCUAUCGUGGACUUACUACACGAUUCUAUAAAUUAAGCUAGGAUACGUUGUUGUUGUUGGUAGUGGUGGUGGUUUAAUGGCGAUUGUCUGUCAAUGAUUUUCGCCAGAGAAUAACUUAAGGGUGUGGUCCAUGCAUGUAAAUAUAAAAGAUAUCCUAUAACAUUUUCAAUUUCACGAAGGGUUUCUCGAGCUGUAAAAGUCACGACUUAUGUAUCAUCACUUUCACAUUAUGGCAUAAGUAGGCCUAAUACCGGAAAAUGCAUAUUUACAAUAAGAAUUCGAUUUUCACUUAUAUGUACCAAUUUUCCUGCUAGAAAUACAUGUAUUGGGUCAGUUUUUUGUAUACUUAAUAAACUUUAUAAUCAUUCGUAUGUUUAAUAAACUAUAUAAUCAUUCGUAUGCUUAAUAAACUUUAUAAUCAUUCAUAUGCUUAAUAAACUAUAUAAUCAUUCGUAUGCUUAAUAAA
Molecule: long non-coding RNA, 813 nt
Organism: Strongylocentrotus purpuratus (purple sea urchin)
Lineage: Eukaryota; Metazoa; Echinodermata; Echinoidea; Camarodonta; Strongylocentrotidae
Exons: 4
Source: RefSeq, a predicted model, not a curated record